RNAcentral lists this unclassified non-coding RNA (2653 nucleotides) under Patiria miniata (bat star). RNAcentral's name for it is "uncharacterized LOC119719521, transcript variant X2". Lineage: Eukaryota; Metazoa; Echinodermata; Asteroidea; Valvatida; Asterinidae. The record is from RNAcentral.
AUGGGCAUGGUAACGUCCGGUAGCCUGGCUACAGAAAGUGUUGGGCCAUGCUAAACUGUACACGGUGUACCAGACUAUUGUGGAGACGGUGAGAUACGGCGUGAAAAUGGUGAAGACGCUGAAGAAGACGAGCUGUGACGUUCCUUCAACUUCCCUGAGGUUGGCACCUCCUCAGGGAAGACGCCUGCCUGUGUUUCACAGGCAGUGCGCAAACCAGCUGGUACACGCAGACUGUGUGCUCGUACUCGGAGAACAAAGGUUCCAGCGUGUUCCUUGUUCUCACUGGGAGGGUACUGGGGCCAGCGUGCCCUUCAGCUGGAUUAAUCUUGAGAAAAGAUGCACAGAUAACAUGAGAAAACAUGAGAUUAAACAGAGAGAAUAUGAACAGAAACUAAACAGGAAAUAUGACUUGAAACUGAGAGCAUAUGAGUAUAAUCACAGAGCAUACGAGUUUAACCUGAGAUACCACAUCGAUGAUACUGAGCCUAGAUGCAGUGACUAUCUUGUGCAGAGAAGAAGGGUGAGUGAACUGAAGAUGCGGAGAAUCAACAAAAUGACAAAGCAGAGAGUAAGUAAUCAGAAAGCAUUGAGAAGCUUGAAGGUAAGCAGACAAACAUGCUGUAGCAGAAGUCAGGUAUUGGAAAGUUAUGUAGAGUACUGUCAAGAGGCAAAGAAGGUUUCUAAACCAAAUAGAAAGAAAAUGAGAAGAAGCCAACGUAGACAGGCCUACCACAGAAUGAGGAAUGGUAAGAUGAUCGAAUUGCGCAUGAGUAAGGAGGACAGAAGAAACCAGAAGAAUGCCCAGAAGAAUUUACAAAGUCACACUAGAAGAAGUUUGAGUAAUGUCUUGAACAACAUGCCAGAUAAGGGAGACAAAUGCAUAGUGCAGAAACACAGCAGAUAUCAGUGUAAACCAUGGAGAUCACAAAAGAAGAGUAAAUUUGCAAAGAGAUCGAAUGUAAAUGAAAUUCAAGACAAGCAGUGCUGGUUGUGCGAUAGGAGUAUUAAGUCAUCUGAAAACAACGUGCAGUGUGAUGGCUGUGACAUUUGGUAUCAUGUGCAUUGUAUGAAUUUCUCAAAGAUGAAACAGCUGUUGAGCAACAAAGCUGUGACAUGGUUGUGCAGAAAAUGUGGGAGGAGUACUUAUUCUGAGUCUCUGUUAUGUAAUCUUGGUAUUCCAACAGAUGAUAACAUGUAUGAGUUGACAGUUCAGGAGACAUGCACCGAUGAUGUGGUCAGAGAGAGGUCCGUGAAUGGAAUGUGCAGGAAGGACAGCAACAAAGACAAUCAGAGAAAAAAUAAACCAGCAAGGUUGCCAAGUCAGUGAAGGAACAAGUCUGUUGAAACGUGUUGCUACUUGGCAAGAUGUACACAGAAUUUGUGCAUGUGUGGUGUAAACGUCAUUGAAGAGAAGACAACCCUCUUGUUGGAAACUGACCAUUGGAAAUAUUUGCACAGUUAUGUUUUUAAAGCCCAUUUAUAGCAUUACUAUGAUGUGAAGGACAACUAAUCAUCUGUCAACCAUGCCCGAGUUCAAUCAGCCACCUCUUGCAUCACUGUGAUGUCACAGGCUACUAAUCACAGUCUGUCAUCCAAGCCCAAGUACUGUCAGUCAUCUCUUGUACUGUACCACUAUGUGUGAGGCUACAUAUCACCUGUCAACCUAGUCUUGAGCUCUGUCGGCCACAUGUUGCAUCACUGUAUUUAUUUAAAUCCUGCUAAUCACCUGCCAUCCAUCAUGAAUACUGUGAGCCAUCACUUGCAUCACCCGCCAUUCAAGGCUGAGUUCUGUGAGUUAACUUGUGCAUCACUAUGAUGUCAAAGUGAUGUCAAAGGCUGUUAUUACCCGCCAUACAUCACCAAGUUCUGCAAGUCACCUCGUUCAUCACCGUGAUGUCAAAGGCUACUAAUCACUUGUCAUCCAAGCCAAACUUCUCUAUGUCACCUCUUACAUUACUCAAAUGUCAAAUACUCAAAUGCUUCUGAUGACCAGGAUGACUUGUCAUCCAAGGACGAGUUCUGUGAUGUCAAGACUGUAUAUUUGUUGUCCAAGCCUUUGUCUUGUCAUCAAACUCUUGUAUAAACAUGUGAUGGUAAAGGCUUUUAUCAAUUGUUCAACAGGCCUAAUUUCUGUCAGCCACCUCAUUUAUCAGCAUGAUGUUAAACGCUUUUGAUUUGUAAUCCAAUUUGGAGUACAUCCUUACAUUUAGUCCAGUGUAUGUGUUGAAAAUCAUUUCACACUUGUAGAGUUUAACACUGUGAGGCUUCCAAUGUCCACAUUUUUCGUAGAAUAUGUCAGUUACACUGCAAAGUGCCAUAUCUGUGGUGUGUUCAUUGAUCAUCAUACAGAUACUGUUGUAUGACAGCUUUGAAUAUGGAUGUUAAUUUGUAAACUAAACAGUACAUUUCCUUUGAGGGAAACAUUUGGGAAAAGAAGCAGCUUAUAUUCAUAUGUUUUCUAAAUGCAACUUAGUCUAAUCAAAACUUUUCAUAUAAAAGGUAUAAGUUAAUGUUCAGAUAUUUGUUCAACAAAAGCUGUGUACAUCCAACAUUGGAAUAUUGUUUUAUUUGUUAAUAUAUAUUUAUAUACAUUUGUUUGUAUUUUUUUCUGUGGAAGUCAGAGGAAAAUAAAUAUUAAUUGAAAUGAGUUGCA